RNAcentral lists this ribosomal RNA (380 nucleotides) under uncultured eukaryote. RNAcentral describes it as "partial 18S ribosomal RNA". It matches the Rfam family "Eukaryotic small subunit ribosomal RNA", at positions 592 to 976 of the family's 1831-position model. The record is from RNAcentral.
CAAUAGCGUAUAUUAAAGUUGUUGCAGUUAGAACGCUCGUAGUCGGAUUUCGGGGCAGUCCGACCGGUCUGCCGAUGGGUAUGCACUGGCCGGAGUGUCCUUUUUGCCGGAGACCGUGCCUACUCUUAACUGAGCGGGGGCGGGAGACGGCACUUUUACUUUGAAAAAAUCAGAGUGUUUCAAGCAGGCAGCUCGCUCUUGCAUGGAUUAGCAUGGGAUAAUGAAAUAGGACUUUGGUGCUAUUUUGUUGGUUUCGAACACCGAAGUAAUGAUGAGAAGGGACAGUCAGGGGCACUCGUAUUCCGCAGAGAGAGGUGAAAUUCUCAGACCCGCGGAAGACGGACCACUGCGAAAGCAUUUGCCAGGGAUGUUUUCACUGA